RNAcentral lists this ribosomal RNA (468 nucleotides) under uncultured bacterium. RNAcentral describes it as "partial 16S ribosomal RNA". It matches the Rfam family "Bacterial small subunit ribosomal RNA", at positions 28 to 507 of the family's 1533-position model. The record is from RNAcentral.
GACGAACGCUGGCGGCGUGCUUAACACAUGCAAGUCGAACGGAAAGUCCCUGCUUUUGUGGGGUGCUCGAGUGGCGAACGGGUGAGUAACACGUGAGUAACCUGCCCUUGACUUUGGGAUAACUUCAGGAAACUGGGGCUAAUACCGGAUAGGAGCUCCUGCUGCAUGGUGGGGGUUGGAAAGUUUAGGCGGUUGGGGAUGGACUCGCGGCUUAUCAGCUUGGUGGUGGGGUAGUGGCUUACCAAGGCUUUGACGGGUAGCAAGCAUGAGAGGGUGACCGGGCACAAUGGGACUAAGAUACGGCACAGAAUCCUACGGGAGGCAGAAGUGGUGUAUAUUGCACAAUGGGCGGAAGCCUGAUGCAGCAACGCCGCGGGCGGAAUGAAGGCCUUCGGGUUGUAAACCGCUUGCGCCUGUGACGAAGCGUGAGUGACGGUAAUGGGUAAAGAAGCACCGGCUAACUACGUG